RNAcentral lists this transfer RNA (77 nucleotides) under Rhodospirillaceae bacterium. Its description in RNAcentral is "tRNA-Lys". It matches the Rfam family "tRNA". From Rfam's summary of the family: Transfer RNA (tRNA) molecules are approximately 80 nucleotides in length. Their secondary structure includes four short double-helical elements and three loops (D, anti-codon, and T loops). The record is from RNAcentral. Lineage: Bacteria; Pseudomonadati; Pseudomonadota; Alphaproteobacteria; Rhodospirillales; Rhodospirillaceae.
UGGCGCAUGGCUGCAGCUGGCAGAGCGGCUGACUCUUAAUCAGCGGGUCGCAGGUUCGAGCCCUACUGCGCCCACCA